GUCGUCAUUAUUAGAUAGUUUACUUUAAGCACGUGUUUGCAAAUCAUAUUGACAGCUGGUACGGUGAAAAAUGUGUAACCCGUAUCCCGUAUGAACUUUCCCCAUACCCAUUACAAUUUAGCCGUAUUAUUGAAUGUUUUCAUCAACUUAAAGCUGAAAGAUAGUCCAGAUCUCAUUCCAGAUCGGCAGAUGUUUAUAAUGACUUUAUUGUUUAAAUCAUAAAGAUCUGUGAAAUGAAGUUAAUUAACAAAUC
This 253-nucleotide long non-coding RNA is filed under the name Mytilus galloprovincialis (Mediterranean mussel). Lineage: Eukaryota; Metazoa; Mollusca; Bivalvia; Mytilida; Mytilidae. The record is from RNAcentral.